GAGUGACGGAUCUGAAGCAGGCAAAAGGAGAGUGGUCUAUCUCAACGGUAAAUAAACUAGUUUGUAAAAUACACAAUAAGUCAACAAGUUUCAGUUUAACCCACUUCACCGGUAUUGGUAUCGCCCCUAAAAAAUACAAAGCAAGGUUUGUUACAUUCCCACUAUUUUUUUACCUGAUUGUUUUAGCUGAUGUGCAGUGUAGUGUGGUCAGAAAGGUUGAACUACUGCUUUUAUGGACUCUCUGUCUUGAUGUUUCCUGUUGAUACGAACAAUCAGCAGAUGACUCUGUGACGUGGAGUUGAUGCAAGAUACAACUUCCUGUUCUGUAUUGUUUAUUUUGAAAAGAUAAGAAAACUAUAUUAAAAAAAAGAAAACUGCCAAAUGUUUACAAACUCUAAAGUUCAUUCUCUGUCAGUAAAAUGGAAAGGGAGCUGUUAAGAUGCGGAAGUAGCUCAGGAGGUAGAGCGGUCGUCCAGUACAGUUUACUGGAUGAAAAGGAAAGUACUUUCCUGUACUGUAGCUGAUUGGUGUCCUGUGUUGAAGCUGGGGUAUCGGGAUUGUUUUAUUUCCUAUUUUACUUUUUUUACAGCCAUAUUUCUUAGUCAUUUUACAGUUGAAUGUAUUGCACUUGUAUUUAUUAUCUAUUUAUUUAAUUAUUGCUGAUUUGUGGUGCUGAAAGGGGACUGUUUGAGCCAUAUGCUUCUGUGAUUGUCCGGCAUUUGUCUGUUUCUUGAUCGUAAAAUAACAUAGUGGGUUAACUGUGAAAUGAAUUGACCUUCAGGGAUUAAUAAAGUUGUCUGAAUCUGAAUCUUAAUCUAUAUUUGCAUAGAUAAAUAAGAAAUAGAUCAGUUCUGUGUGUGUGAGGUUGAACCACAGAAAGCACCAGAUGUAUUCUUAACAUGUCUUCCAUGAAUAGAGAGUACAUAGCGUGCACAAAGUUAUGCAAUCUUUGUGUGAAUCAUUAGUUCCUUCGUACUAAAAUAUGAACCAUUAUACUUCUCAAACAAACAGAAUUUGACAUACAAACCUGCCUCUAAUAGAAGCCUGCUUCAUUUAAAGACCUGCUGGUUUGUUUUUUAAGGAUUUACUUAUUUAUGAAAAGAAUUAAUCUAUUUUUACAGAGUCUGAUUUUUGACGUCUCUUGGUAUUCUGCUCAUGGUUCCCUUUCUGCGUUAAGAUACAGGGAUGAUAAAGUGACAUGCCCGUACAUUUACCAGUUAUCUCAGUGAUUUUUAGUCCUGUAUAUCUCUGCCUUUCUCCUUUCCCUGGAAAAGUGGCUCGACUCAAUUAAGAUCCCAUCAGCCGCUCGGAGGAAAUGUAUUAGACUCACUGACCCUUAAAUCAAUCAUGGCGUCCAGUGAGUCACUGCAGACGCCACUGCGGCCUUCAGAGGGUCAGCUGUCAGAGCAGAGGGGGAUGUUUUUAAGGUUUUCAAAUGUAUCCGUCACCGGCUCCAAAGUGGAUGUCAUUCACUGCUGCAGCCAGAGAGGUGAUAAAGUUGUAGUGUGGAGUCAGAUAUGAAGUGAAAACUGGAGGUAAAUUUGUGGAAAUGUUGAGACUAAUGUUACUUUUCUCUGAAUUUAGGUGGACAUAUUGCUUUUAGCACAAGAGCAAAUUGUCUCAGCUGGAAAACGAGGAUAUGAAACUUGUUAAGAUUGGAUUUAGCCCACCAAACGUUAUCCCUAAAUUAAUCGACUAGUUAAGGAUUCAAAACUAAAUUAUCAUUUGGGACAGAAUCAAAAAGCUGCACAGAGAAGACAAAUCAAUUUAAAAGAAGUAUUCAUCUCUUUCUGACACCUACCUGGGUCUUUAUGAUAAGGAGAGUGUGAAAGGAAGGAAGAGAGGAGGAGAAAUCAGGGCAGAGCAUCCUCUCUCUCUUCCUGAGAUAAUCAGCAGGGAUUGUUAAAGCGGCGAGGAGGAGGACACACGCCCGUGAUCGAGUCCUGCUGAAUAACACAGAGUCAGUGUCUGUGCAGCUUAUCUGCCUGUCUGAUGGAAAUUACCCCUCAUACUGCACUCAUGCACUUGAAUCAGUUAUGACCCCGGUCAGACUGACACUUCCCUCCCCUUCCUCGGCUCCUCUUCAGGCUGAUAUAAGCUCUCUUGUGUCACUUGUCGCCUGCUCCUCCUCGCGUGGAUAAAAAGUCAUUUUCUCUCCCUGAAGCCACCAAGGUCAGCAUCCUCCACCCCCCCAGGCCCUCCUCUUAUGUCAGAUCCUGAUCCUCAACAACCCCGAGGUGAGCUCAGACUCAGGAAGUGGAUUCACCUUCAGCACACACUCUCCAUGAUCCUCAGACUCAACACUUUGACCUUUCAGUGACAUUUUCCUCUGGACUGAGCGUCUCAGAUCUGCUGUUUAUGCUCCUGUCUUCUCUCUAAAUUCACACAUGGAGGUAAAACCCUGAUGUGAUAAUCUUAAAAAACGGGCUCUAUGAUUUACUUUCACCUCUCUUUGCUUCCAGACUGCGGAGACUUGCUCUCAUUAAUUUCAAUGACCUGUGUGAAAGGAGUGGGAGGAGGACCGAGGCUGCACAGAAAAGACGGGUUAUUGUGGAGCUGUUUGAUUCCACAGUUUGUAAAUAGUUUAUCUCAUCUAGUUUUAUGUUUUUGUUGGACUCAUUUAGAGCAUUUUUACCAGUUGAGAUGUUUUACAAAGUCAGCUGGUCCACAUGUAGUUAAAGGGAUAUUCAUUAAUUUAGGGUCAAACACACCGCAACACCGAGUUAGACAACCCCUCGGGCGAUGAAUGCUUCCCCAGUUAUACCAACUUCAGUAACGACCGCACGAUAGGAAUACACAGCGGUCUGAGGAGCCAUACACAAACCUCAACCAAAAUGCCACUCUAUAGCCACAAAUAAUGCUCAGAACAGCACCUAACUUCAUCAACAGGACAUAUAGGGUCACAGACAUAGUACUAGACACCAAACAUCUUUUUAACUUUGACUCAUUUCUCUAGCAAAGAGACUAAACACAACUCACCUACUCUCUUCCAGCAGCCGCUUGUUUGUAGCGAGACCUCAGGCCAGUCCAUUAGGGACUACAGCAGGGUGACGCAGCUCAAGGAAGAACAUUUAUGAUCAUAACUGUCUAACUCGGUGUUACAGUGUGUUUGACUCGAAAUUAAUUUUACACCAAAAUGUCCCUUUAAGACACAGAGAGAACGUUUAAGGGAACAGUGUUAGCGAACAGCUCCAGUUUUCUAUUGUGACACAAGUCAGAACACUAUUUAUAAGGAUUAAAGGAAUAAAACAACCUCUUUUAAUUAACGAUACGCAAAGGCCCAGGUGUUGGCUCGUAGCUGGGUUACCAUGACGACAGACGUAAACACACCUUGAACCUUGAGCUGCAUGUUUUUUGGGCACUUUUCAUCAGCGAUUCAUCAACACUGCAACAAUAAACCCAUAUUUUACAAUCCUUUUUUGUCCUCUGGUGAUAAAAACACUCUUGUCUCUUGUAGCUUCCUGUGUCGCCUGGAGGAUUUGUGUGAAAUCAUGUCAGGGAUAGGUCAGCCUUCAUCCACUCCUCCGCCUCCUCCUCUUCCUCUGUGGAUAUUCAGCAGGUUAACAGGACACCGGGAAUAUUGAUUUUCACCAAUGAAAUGAAAUUGACUUGAUGUAUUUGAGGGCCUUCUAUCAAAUCCACAGCAUCCUGUUCAGACUGGAGGUCAAAGGGACAUGUGUCUGCCAUAGCUCAUGUUUACAGUGAAGGGUGCUCAGUAAUCUGAACUAUAAAAUUCAGCAGCGCAGAGAAAAUAAACACUCAGACACCCUGGAGCACCCGGGCUGGCGGGUUAUUUUGAUGUGCAGAGUUUUGUUUUAUUUAUCUGGAGUUUAGUAUCACAGUUUUCUGGAUGUUUGAAAUGAAAAUAAAACCAGAGUUCAUAUUGUUCGUCAUCCAAACUUCUAAGUGGGAUUUUUUAUGCAGAUGACUCCAGAGUGUGGUGCUUGGUGUAAAAGCACUUCUGUCCAGGCAUUAAGAGAACUUUUAUUUAGUAACUGCUGGAUAUUUAAAGAUAUAUUUUUUGUUCUCCAUCUCUCUAAACCCAGCUCAGUCUCAGCAGAUGACUGUCUAACAUCAGUCUGGUUCUGCUCGAGGUUUCUGCCUGUUAAAGGAAGUUCUUCCUCUCCACUGUAACUUGUCUAGACUUGCUUUUUGUAAAUUGUAAAUCGUCACAAUAUAAUUAAAGAUUGAGAUUGAUUGGAUAAUCUAUAAUGUUCCCAAGCACAGUAGAAUCAUACAGACAGAUACAGCAGACCUAACACAGGAAAAUACGUUGAGUCAGCACAAUUUCAUCGGCGCAUCGUUCUGAGAAAAACACUGAGAUAUUAAUGAAAUUGUUUAACAGUAGAUACAUGCUCUGUGAGUUGUCUUUUUGACUCAAUUGCACAGUUUCUGUGGACACGAAAGCCAGGUAGUCUUUAAAUAAACCACUGACGUAGUUCUCUCAGACAGAACGCAGGGCUCUCAAGUCUCACGCAUUCAGCGUGUGACACACGCAUUCCCACCCGUUCACACGCUCACGCGCCACACAUUGUAUUUCUCACGCAUUUAAAUGAACAUGGUGAUGUCCACCAAGUUGCACGUCUUUAACUAUGGAACAGAUAGGAAUCAACUGAGUUCCUCCGAGAGUUCAGAAGCUGCGUGCCACGCGCAAGCCAAUCAAAUAAAGUAUAUCUACUGAACAGCCAAUAAAAAAGCAGCAUUGCUGUAUCCGGGUAGAUUUUGAUAUCUUACGGUUUGACUACAGAAGAAGACAGACACUCGCCAUAAUAAAGCAGGUUUUUAUAAGGACGAGAUAGACCCGAUGAUUACAGUAAGUCAGUAACCUACACAUGCAGAGACCUCAACACCUCAUGGCAUAUAAACUCAUAUGAUAAACUAAAGCCCUAUGCUAUUGCUAUUAACAGCUGUAUUGAUGGAUUUAGCCUCUGUACAGCCAUUUCCAGCCAUUUUCCCCUCCACAAAAGCAGCAUUUCUCAUAAAUCUCAAAUAGAAGUUCUGAUACUCAUGACAGUGUAAUGCUCAUGUACCAAAGGAUUAAGUAUCUCCAUGUUUGUGAAACCUAUACUAAAGUAAAAUUCAUCUAAAUGCUCCACAGUGCUGAUUUUAACAACUCUCCUUCACAACAGGUAACUUUACGACUUAAUACUUAUAUAUUAAUGACUUUAUUCUCCUAAAUAAUAACUUUAUUCUUUAAGAUUUAAAAAAGUUUUUUUUCUAAUUGUGCCCCUUAUACUCCGUUGUAUUUAAGAGAUAAUUACACUAAUAAUUAUCUUCAAUCACCCCCCCAAGGAAAUCUCACUCUAAGCUUAGUUCAAAACUUGAGAGCCCUGCAGAACGUAUUCAAAAUAGAAGCCUGUCUCAAAUACUAGCCCGAUUCAUAUUAAGGCCUGUCUCUAAUACAAGCCUGUUUCAAUAUAAAAGCUUGUCUCUAAUACAAGCCUGUUUCAUAUUAAGGCCUUCUACUUUCAGGUGAAUGACACUGGCUGGUUGGGUUUGCUAAUUUCUUGCAAAUUCAGGAUCAAAUGCAUUAAUCUCGUUUGUUCCCAAUGAGUGUUGAUUAAGAUUGACGUCUGCUGAGACGAGCUGUGAUCACAAUGCUAAAGACUGAGCCUUUACCUGAUGCAAAUAUGACCUGAGUGUUGGAGCGUUUUAUGAACAUGAGUCAUUUUAAAUCCAGGCCUGUAUUCAGAGUCAGAGCCUGUCAGCUUUCUUUAGUGACGGUGUUAUUUUUGUCUGUGUGGCAGCAUGCAGUGGGUCUUAACAUCGACACAUGACACUAAACCUGGAUUUAACUCCCACGCUGAUUAUCUGUAUUGUAUAAAUCACACCGCACAGAUUCCCUCUCAAUAGGAGAUUAAUUUCAGAAGUGGACAUCCCUGUUUGUGUUGGAAAUAAUCAUGUAAAUGAAAAAAAGAAAGGUGAGCCUGAUUUCCGGCGGUGAAUAAAACCUGUAAAGAGGAUCAUUUUUAUCUGUUAGGCGCAGGUCACACCGUCUCUCGUGUAUUUGAGGUAUUUCAUUUGAGGUGUCCUCAUUCCUUUGUCCUGCUGGGGGCGGCUGCUUCUGCCUCUUCUCCUGCCAGGUGGUCUUUUUUUAUGCUAAAAACUGUCUGACAUUUGGCAAAGACUAACUCUCUGUUUACCUUUGAACUUCUGUAUCUCUGCAAACACCUUUGACCUCCUGCCAGCUGCAGCAGCUCAGAGGAGAGGAGGCAACAGAGCGGCUCUAACUGAGGCUCUUUCUGUCGUCAGUUAUUGAACAUUAGGCUACUGCGCUCCUGGGUAAGAAAAUAGCUGAUAAACUCUGAUGUUGUUCAUUUACUUUGGCAUACUUGUACCCUACUUGUUAGGAGGAGCAUUUCCAACGAAUAACUUGUACAAAAGGAGGCAUCAGGAGUGAAUAGGUUCACAAGUAAGUGAGAAACAGUGUGAGCGAAUAGUUGAACAGUUCUGGAUUUUGAUCAUCUGUGGUGUAUAACAUUGUUAAAUGAUUUCGAAACAAAGGCGUCAAGGUAAGACACUGAUACAGUGCGGUCGUGACCCUGAGACCCCCGGCAGCACUGCAUCCAAAGGUGUUUUUUAACCACAGGAAGUAGGAUCUAAACUUAGUUCAGGAGUGAAAGAAAGUUCCUGGUGCUUGGGGUUUCAUAGCACUGUCAUGUUUUCUGUUGAUGUAGUUUUUCAUCGGUUUUGUUAUCUGAGUGUAUUUUUUGGUGUAUUUUUCCUAGUGUUUCUGUUCCCAAUUGUUGCCGUGAUCCUGUCCUGUUUUUGGUGGACAUUUGGAAUAAAUUUUUUGUUGCUUUUUAUUUCAUUCAUUUUAGUAAAUCAUUUUUGCAUUCUGCAUUUAGGUCCUUUUCCAUUGUUCAACUCUACCAUGUGACAGAAUGAACCGACAAAGACAGAGGUGAAGACGGGGACAACAUACACACAUAGAGAAACGAGCAACAGGUGAGGCAGACGAGACACAGGUGAGACUCCUGGGUGAUUAACGAAGGAGGGAAAACUAGGGAAGUAAAUGCAAGGAAUCAACUACUACAAAAUAAAAUAAAAAACAUUGAAAACUGAUCUAAAGAAUAAAACAUGGAAAACAGGAGGAAAACAGGGUGAAAGACAAACUGGAAACUCACACGACUGGACUACAGGGGAACAGAAACAACUCACAGACUAAAUUUACAGAACAUAUCAUGACAAGCACCUUAAAAACAGACAUGACUCUGUAGUGUAAAUCACUGCAUGGGUACAAAAUCACCUUCAAGUUUGUCGCUCCAUCCACAAUUACAUGUUAAAACUGUAUCAUGAAAAGAGGAAACUGACUUCUCCCUUACCUUGGAUGAGUACAAAGUUCAGUAUUUAAGAGUAUGAUUUAUCUAAGACUGUUAUUUAACCGUUAAAUAAUCCUGAAGGAAGCAUGAGAGCACGUUUAGAUUGUAAAUGUGUGCCAGCUUGGCCUUAAGUUACAAAAGUUUGUUUCUGCUGAUGUAAGGAAAAGCGCUGUCCUCACCUGAAAGUUAAUGGGGAUUCACCUUUUCUCCUGGAAACUUCCCAGAGGGUUUCCCAGGACAGCAGAGCUAAUUACUUUCAGUCAGGAGCAUUAAAGAGAAGCUGUCAGGGUGUGAGAUAAUGUUGGGACGAGUCCGUCCCACAGCUGAACCGGAGGCACAGCACAUCUGGCACAGGGAGUCCCCCUCAGCACGCCUAAUGAUCCACACCGUCUCCGUCUAAUAUCUGAUCUGCAGCACCAGCAGUUUGUGUUUUCCCCCCAGUGAAUGAGUGAUGGUAGUUUAGGAGCAGACAUGAUGUGCAUUUAUGUGGAUGGGACAUGGAAAACUGUGAACUCACUUUCCUACGUUCUUUUUACUAUGACAAGAACUAACAUAAUCCCUAAACCACCCAGGCUGGAGCGCCAUGAACAAAGGUGAGCCUCGAGUUUAAGUCAAACGUACGGGGCGACAUAGUCACAGUCGCGCCGCUGGCCAGUAUAACGAAUGUUUCACAUCAAACAAACCCCAUAAUGCAUUGCUGGCAGAUGUCGUGUUAUUUAAGUGUCCUCCCAUAGGCAAGACUAGCAGCAUGCGUUCGUUUGCUAUUAUCUUUAAUCAUCAUUAUCUGCUCCACUUACCAUUUUCCCUCUUCCUCUUUUUUCAUUUUCUUUUCUCAGUCCCAGAUGUACGGAAGCGUAUUGCAUUCACUUACAAAAAAAAGGAAACUGUUUUUAAGAGUAUUAUUUUUUUAUUUGCUGUUUUUCAGACCAAUUUUUUUUCUUCUGUUUUUACUUUUUUUUUUUUCCGUCUCUCUGUUUUUCGGAUGAUUGUUUUUCCUGACUAAAGGAGAUACUUCAAAAUCUUGUGAGUAUCUCAGACAAUCAGAUCACGUUAACCACUACUGAUUCAUGUAUCUGACUUAAAGAAAGGAGUAUCUCUCAGUGUCUCAAAUCCAAAAGAAAGUCAAACUUGAUUAAACUAAACGAGCGGGCCAUGUUUGCUUCCAAUAAAUUGAGCAGAGUGGGAUGAAAUUGUCUGUUUUGAAAUGAUCAUGAUCCCAGAGAAUAGGAAAGACAAUUAGUCUGAAAAACAGAAAAGAAAAAAAGUUGUCAUGUCUUAUAAAUUGCUCAUCAAUAUCAUCAUAAAUGAGGGUUGACAGGUUGAGUCAUUGAUUGAUUUAUUGGGUUUGAGGAGCCAGAUGAUCACAAGAAAGCUGACCAGAAAGGUAGUCGUACUUUGUUCAGAGAUAGCCCAAAAAUCACAAAGUAUUCCACAACAUGAGGGAGCAUUUAUAGAUAAUUUAACUCUUCAUGGUGUUAAAAUUCAAACUACAAAUAAAGUCUGAAAAGUUUUAUUUCACAGCAAACAUAAACAGCUGCGGCCGUAAAUGACCCUGCAAGAAGUGACUCUGCGGGUUUGUAGAGAGAUCAGAUUAUUUGAAGUGGAUCUUGUGCAAGUUGAGAAUUCGAGCACGAAAUGAAUGAAUGAAGGAAUGAAUGAAUGAGUGGGUUUAAUGUGCAGCUCUCUCUGUGACCUUUUUGCUCGUCUCACCUGUUCGUAAUGUCACAGUGAUCGAUACCACCUUAAUGCAUUCCCCUCGCGCUCUCUCCUUCCACUGGACUCCAAGGGUGGCUCGCUCAGCAAAGUCACUCUGGUCCUACAGCCGCCAUGAAUCAUUAAACAUUCGAUCUCUUUCCUGCAGCUGCUUCCAAAACGUGUCAGAGGGGUUUUCCUGACAUCAGCAACCUGGUCGAUAAAGUUAAUGAGAGAAAUGUCUUCAAUCAAGGGUCAAGAGAUGGAAGUUUAAGGCUGAGAUUACAACCUGAUGCAGUUCAACGCUUGGAAGUAUCAGGUGAAGACAAAAGAUUUAGAUAAUUGGAGGAAAAAGUAGUAGCCCAUAAAUGCUUAUUUUAUAAGUAAGUAGACACAACUGAGCAGGAAGAAAAACACCGUCCUUUAGCAGGUUAAUUGUGCAGUAAACCUUCAUUGCUUUGCACAGUUUUACCUCAGAAUAGAUUCAUUUUGUGAUCCUCCUCCCCUCACACUGUCCUCCAUCUCUGAUGUGAUAAUGGAAAACCUUUGGCAAAUAGGAUUGUUUUGAAAAACCUUCCCAGGCUGUCCUCUCCCUGAUGAAACACAUUUGUUUCUGCAGCUUCCCCCUCCUCAGACGUCUUCACGAGGAAAAUGGUCUUUUUCACAGCUUUACCCUCCUUGUGUCAGAUAAAGAGAAACUGCUCUCUGAAAUUUAAUUAUCACAGAUGUCGAGGCGGAGGAGCCGGGGCUUGCACAGACAGGGCGGCGUGUCCAAGAGCAGAGGGAGAUUCCCUGAUCUCCACACACAGUAAAGAUGAGAUCUAACAGGACAUCAGCAGAUUUGACCAGACCUGAUGAGAGAGAGAUUUCAACACUGACUUUUAGAUGGGUGGAAGGUAAACACGUCAUUUCCUAUGGUGACAAAAAUGAUGAUUGCAACAGCGUCUAUCCAAAAUCAGUGUGCAGAAAAUCCUGUCCAUGCAAAGAUAUGUUUCUGAC
Molecule: long non-coding RNA, 10013 nt
Filed under: Xyrichtys novacula (pearly razorfish)
Lineage: Eukaryota; Metazoa; Chordata; Actinopteri; Labriformes; Labridae
Source: RNAcentral